AUUGAACGCUGGCGGCAGGCCUAACACAUGCAAGUCGAACGGUAACAGGAAGAAGCUUGCUUCUUUGCUGACGAGUGGCGGACGGGUGAGUAAUGUCUGGGAAACUGCCUGUUGGAGGGGGAUAACUACUGGAAACGGUAGCUAAUACCGCAUAACGUCGCAAGACCAAAAAGGGGGACCUUCGGGCCUCUUGCCAUCGGAUGUGCCCAGAUGGGAUUAGCUAGUAGGUGGGGUAACGGCUCACCUAGGCGACGAUCCCUAGCUGGUCUGAGAGGAUGACCAGCCACACUGGAACUGAGACACGGUCCAGACUCCUACGGGAGGCAGCAGUGGGGAAUAUUGCACAAUGGGCGCAAGCCUGAUGCAGCCAUGCCGCGUGUAUGAAGAAGGCCUUCGGGUUGUAAAGUACUUUCAGCGGGGAGGAAGGGAGUAAAGUUAAUACCUUUGCUCAUUGACGUUACCCGCAGAAGAAGCACCGGCUAACUCCGUG
This 490-nucleotide ribosomal RNA is filed under the name uncultured bacterium. Its description in RNAcentral is "partial 16S ribosomal RNA". It matches the Rfam family "Bacterial small subunit ribosomal RNA", at positions 30 to 507 of the family's 1533-position model. The record is from RNAcentral.